This 993-nucleotide long non-coding RNA is filed under the name Anas zonorhyncha (Eastern spot-billed duck). RNAcentral describes it as "lncRNA (ENSAZOG00000015193.1)". The record is from RNAcentral. Lineage: Eukaryota; Metazoa; Chordata; Aves; Anseriformes; Anatidae.
AUGGCGGGGCUCGCCGCGAUACCCCCCUUCCCUCCCCUCAGAGUCGGCGACACGGGACGGCGACACACCGGCUGCCUGGCUAAAACGCAGCGGACGGGAAGAAAAACGAGAGCCAAAAACAAAAAAAAAAAAAAAAAAAAAAAGACGAAAACCCCCAAAACCACCACCGCGAGACAGAGCCCCGGGCGCCUCGAUUUAUUUAAUUAUUUUUUAUUCAUUUUCUCGCCCUCCCUCGCGGGGGGGAACCGGCCGCUAACGGCCGGAGCCGCUGACAAAGCUCCCGCGCGCCCCCUCCCCUCGCCCCCGCCCCCACCCCAGCACCGCCCCCGCGACAUGCGCGGCGCUAUCGCGACACGAGGCGCCCCCCUCCCCUUCCUCAGGGAGCCCCCUCCUCCAUCACAGAGCCCCCUUCCCCCCUCCCCAGUAUCACGGAGCCCCCCCACACACACAUACACACACUCACCUCGCUCCGCCGCCGCGGGGGAAGCGAGCCCGGGAGCCCUCACCGCCGCCUACCAGCCGCGUCGCGACAUGGCCGCUGUCGUCGUCGUCGCCGCCGCAGGGGAGUUUCGCACAGUUCUUCAAGUGCAAGAUAGCCAAUGGGAAUGAGACCUGUAAUUAAUCCGCCCCAUGCACAGUGCAAGCAGAAGAAACUCUUCUGUCUCUGCAAGGUAUCUGAUAAGACUGCAACACUGCUAGUUAGCAUGGUAAGUUUUGUGAUGUUGCUGCUGGGGUUGGCACCCAGCAAAUGCAUUCCUUAUGAAGCAUGAGGAGCAACAAGAGCUGAUUCAGAGGGUUUCCCUUAGACAACAGAAAGAUAAAUUGAGUUCAGUUUCCCAUCCCUUCUCGCAGAUAUGAAGAUGUGGUGGGGGAAGCAUUAAAAGGGAGCCAGCCCAGCAGUAAGAGCAGUGGCCUGAACUGUGGGACAUCCAAAUUCAGCUCCUGCUUUGUCUGUGCAGCUUUAGUCACAUCCUCACUGUACUUUGGCUUGGU